CUAGCCUCAGACACUUACUAGCUGUGUGACUCUGGGCAAAUCACUUAACCCUGUUUGCCUCAGUUUCCUCAUCUGUGAAAUGAGCUAGAGAAGGAAAUGGCAAUCCAUUCCAGUGCCUGUGCCAAGAAAACCUCAAGUGGAGUCACAAGAGUCGGACACGACAACUCACAAAAUUGUCCCAGGUUCUUCAGGAUAAAACUGGAACAUCUUGGGCAGAAGAAACCAAUGAAGAAACUGCCAAUGAGAAGAAUAAGGGAAAUAUAAUAGAGAAGAAGCAGCACAUUAAAAGACAAAAAGAGAGAAAGAAAGAAAGAAAGAAAGAAAGAAAGAAAGAAAGAAAGAAAGAAAGAAAGAAAGAAAGAAAGAAAGAAAGAAAGAAAGAAAGAAACAGCAAAGGGACCCAGAUGGGAAAGGAUGUUUUUAUGUAAAACAUCAAAGUCAUUCUAACCCGUGGAUACCAGGGGAUUUUGGAACUCACAUAAAUGGUUGAGAUCAGAGUUUCAAAAUGAGCAUAGAAGUAAAUGGCUUAGCAGAUGGUUAGGGGAAAGGACAAAGGGGCCUCUCAUGGGCACUGGAAAGAACUGUGAUGGCAAACAGAAUUCAUAGUGUUAUGUUCACAGAUAAUUAGAGCUAGCUAGCACUUAUUAGGAAUUGAUAGUAGUAGUUUGAUAAGGGCACAUGCUCUUUAAAGUAUAGUUAAUUAGAUGCUGAGGGAAAAGCAAAAGCACUAUCAGCUGAACAUUCUUCAAGUGAUAAAAUGACUCCAAACUUGUGUGCAAGAAACAAGCUUGCCAUAGGGCUAAGGAUGGGAGAUACGUGGCUUAGCAGUAAUUCAUGAUAAAGACUACAAAGUUCACUACUAUGAGUCAGUAGUGUAACAUGGCAGCCAUUAGUUGCACUAGUAGCAAAGUGCUAGAAACAAGUGAUAUAUUUUUUUUAGGGAAUGGCUAAAUAAGUGAUGUUAUGUGAAAGUCAGGGAAUAUUACUGCCCCAAAAGAAAUAACAAACGUGAUGAAUUCAGAGAAGCAUGUAACUACUUAUAUGAACUGAUGCAAAUGAUGGAGGCAGAACCAGGAAAAAUACACAAAAUGAUUCUAGCAAUACAAACAUAGGGGAAAAGAAAAGCACAAUGGAAAAUGAAUGCUGGGAAAUUAUAAUGACCAAGACUGAUUCCAUUGUAGAAAUAGGAGAAGGCAUCUCACUCCCAUCUUUACAGAGAUGAGAGACUAUAGGAUGUAGUAUGCAAUGCUAGUUUUUUUUUUUUUGAUGAUCUGGGUAGUUUUAUUCACCAUUUUUAUAGCUGUGGGAGGCAAGAGGAAUACACUGGAAAAUGUAAAUGAAAUGAAAAGAGAAGAUAUGCAUUAAAAUGUGUUUUUCAAAAUUCUCAUUUGAUAGAAGCACAGAAUCCGGAAUAAGAGAGAUUAGUAG
This 1428-nucleotide long non-coding RNA is filed under the name Phascolarctos cinereus (koala). RNAcentral describes it as "lncRNA (ENSPCIG00000032027.1)". The record is from RNAcentral. Lineage: Eukaryota; Metazoa; Chordata; Mammalia; Diprotodontia; Phascolarctidae.